This 405-nucleotide ribosomal RNA is filed under the name uncultured bacterium. RNAcentral describes it as "partial 16S ribosomal RNA". It matches the Rfam family "Bacterial small subunit ribosomal RNA", at positions 357 to 755 of the family's 1533-position model. The record is from RNAcentral.
UGGGAAUUUGGACAAUGGGCGAAAGCCUGAUCCAGCAAUGCCGCGUGUGUGAAGAAGGCCUUCGGGUUGUAAAGCACUUUUGUCCGGAAAGAAAUCCUUGGCUCUAAUACAGUCGGGGGAUGACGGUACCGGAAGAAUAAGCACCGGCUAACUACGUGCCAGCAGCCGCGGUAAUACGUAGGGUGCAAGCGUUAAUCGGAAUUACUGGGCGUAAAGCGUGCGCAGGCGGUUUGCUAAGACCGAUGUGAAAUCCCCGGGCUCAACCUGGGAACUGCAUUGGUGACUGGCAGGCUAGAGUAUGGCAGAGGGGGGUAGAAUUCCACGUGUAGCAGUGAAAUGCGUAGAGAUGUGGAGGAAUACCGAUGGCGAAGGCAGCCCCCUGGCAAGUACUGACGCUCAUGCACG